UCACCGCCUCUUUGUUUACCCUCUUCCUUUCUCCUCACUCUCACGGUCUCACCUCAAAGUUUUUGCAACAAAAAUAAGGAUCAACACCUCCGUGUCAGAGAGGAAGCGAGUAGACUUAUAACUUCUGACGGCGAGCUCACAAGUAGCUGUUUUUUGAUGUUACGUCUGGUCUUACAAAGUGACUAACCUUCACUUUGAAUGUAGGUUACCAAAUCAGCUUCUCUCUCAUCACAGUCUUGAUCCUCGACUUAAAGGAGUAAAAAAAAAAAAAAAGAAAGAAAGCUGGCUGGUUGGGGAUAACAGAUGAGCGUAGAUGAGCAGUGUCAGAUUUAAAAUGGUUUGGAGAAGCCGUCUGCAAAUCUGUCUUGAGCGGAUUACAGCUGAGGUUGGAAAAAACUUGGGGCAAUUUCAUGUGCUUACUAAAUUGCAUAGAUAUCAGUAAGUCGGAGGGG
RNAcentral lists this long non-coding RNA (452 nucleotides) under Gouania willdenowi (blunt-snouted clingfish). RNAcentral's name for it is "lncRNA (ENSGWIG00000007722.1)". The record is from RNAcentral. Lineage: Eukaryota; Metazoa; Chordata; Actinopteri; Blenniiformes; Gobiesocidae.